RNAcentral lists this ribozyme (76 nucleotides) under Crocodylus porosus (Australian saltwater crocodile). Its description in RNAcentral is "Mammalian CPEB3 ribozyme (ENSCPRG00005016756.1)". It matches the Rfam family "Mammalian CPEB3 ribozyme". Rfam says of the family: The mammalian CPEB3 ribozyme is a self cleaving RNA located in the second intron of the CPEB3 gene which belongs to a family of genes regulating messenger RNA polyadenylation. This ribozyme is highly conserved and found only in mammals. The record is from Rfam by way of RNAcentral. Lineage: Eukaryota; Metazoa; Chordata; Crocodylia; Crocodylidae.
GGUCGCAAGCUUUAGGCCAAAGCAGAAGCACUCAUGAUGUGGCCUGUCAGAUUCCAAUGAAUCUGCAAAUUCUGCU